Long non-coding RNA from Periophthalmus magnuspinnatus, 206 nucleotides. RefSeq lists it as uncharacterized. The transcript is spliced from 3 exons. The record is from RefSeq and is a predicted model, not a curated record. Lineage: Eukaryota; Metazoa; Chordata; Actinopteri; Gobiiformes; Gobiidae.
UGUCAUGGUUAUUCCUGACAUGUAUCUGAAUGCUGGUGGUGUGACUGUGUCUUAUUUCGAGUGGUUGAAAAAUCUGAACCAUGUCAGUUAUGGCCGACUCACCUUCAAAUACGAGAGAGACUCCAACUACCACCUGCUCAUGUCGGUGCAGGAGAGUUUAGAGGGGAAGUUUGGGAAACAAGGAGGACCCAUCCCCAUUGUGCCCA